GAUGAACGCCGGCGGCGUGCCUAAUACAUGCAAGUCGAGCGAAUGGAUUAAGAGCUUGCUCUUAUGAAGUUAGCGGCGGACGGGUGAGUAACACGUGGGUAACCUGCCCAUAAGACUGGGAUAACUCCGGGAAACCGGGGCUAAUACCGGAUAACAUUUUGAACCGCAUGGUUCGAAAUUGAAAGGCGUCUUCGGCUGUCACUUAUGGAUGGACCCGGGUCGCAUUAGCUAGUUGGUGAGGUACCGGCGCACCAAGGCAACGAUGCGUAGCCGGCCUGAGAGGAUGAUCGGCCACACUGGGACUGAGACACGGCCCAGACUCCUACGGGAGGCAGCAGUAGGGAAUCUUCCGCAAUGGACGAAAGUCUGACGGAGCAACGCCGCGUGAGUGAUGAAGGCUUUCGGGUCGUAAAACUCUGUUGUUAGGGAAGAACAAGUGCUAGUUGAAUAAGCUGGCACCUUGACGGUACCUAAACAGAAAGCCACGGCUAACUACGUGCCAGCCGCCGCGGUAA
This 515-nucleotide ribosomal RNA is filed under the name uncultured bacterium. RNAcentral's name for it is "partial 16S ribosomal RNA". It matches the Rfam family "Bacterial small subunit ribosomal RNA", at positions 28 to 523 of the family's 1533-position model. The record is from RNAcentral.